RNAcentral lists this transfer RNA (73 nucleotides) under Crassvirales sp. RNAcentral describes it as "tRNA-Ile". It matches the Rfam family "tRNA". Rfam says of the family: Transfer RNA (tRNA) molecules are approximately 80 nucleotides in length. The record is from RNAcentral. Lineage: Duplodnaviria; Heunggongvirae; Uroviricota; Caudoviricetes; Crassvirales.
CCUCCUAUAGCUUAAAGGUUAAAGCAGCAUCCUUAUAAGAUGAAGAGUAUGAGUUCAAGUCUCAUUAGGAGGA